Molecule: RNase P RNA, 327 nt
Filed under: Actinomycetota bacterium
Lineage: Bacteria; Bacillati; Actinomycetota
Description: Actinobacteria bacterium RNase P RNA component class A
Rfam family: Bacterial RNase P class A
About the family: Ribonuclease P (RNase P) is a ubiquitous endoribonuclease, found in archaea, bacteria and eukarya as well as chloroplasts and mitochondria.
Source: RNAcentral
GAAGUGAGACAGACGGCCGCGGCUGCCUUAGGGCAGUCGAGGAAAGUCCGGACAUCGAAGGGCAGGGUGGUCGGUAACGCCGACCCGGGGAAACCCGCGGGAAAGUGCCACAGAAAAGAACCGCCUAAGUGGAGCCUCGGCUCCACCGGUAAGGGUGAAAAGGUGCGGUAAGAGCGCACCGGCGUCGUGGUGACACGGCGGCCAGGCAAACCCCACCCGAUGCAAGGCCAAGCAGGACCGUUAUGAGGCUGCCCGCCCAGGUCCAGGUAGGCCGCAAAGAUGGAUGGCCGUUCAAGACAGAAUCCGGCUUAUCGUUUCGCUAAAGGA